This 500-nucleotide ribosomal RNA is filed under the name uncultured bacterium. Its description in RNAcentral is "partial 16S ribosomal RNA". It matches the Rfam family "Bacterial small subunit ribosomal RNA", at positions 28 to 523 of the family's 1533-position model. The record is from RNAcentral.
GUUGAACGCUGGCGGAAUGCUUUACACAUGCAAGUCGAACGGCAGCACGGACUUCGGUCUGGUGGCGAGUGGCGAACGGGUGAGUAAUGUAUCGGAACGUGCCCAGUCGUGGGGGAUAACGUAGUGAAAAUUACGCUAAUACCGCAUACAAUCUAUGGAUGAAAGCGGGGGAUCGCAAGUCCUCGCGCGAUUGGAGCGGCCGAUAUCAGAUUAGGUAGUUGGUGGGGUAAAGGCCCACCAAGCCAACGAUCUGUAGCUGGUCUGAGAGGACGACCAGCCACACUGGAACUGGGACACGGUCCAGACUCCUACGGGAGGCAGCAGUGGGGAAUUUUGGACAAUGGGCGAAAGCCUGAUCCAGCCAUUCCGCGUGCAGGAUGAAGGCCCUCGGGUUGUAAACUGCUUUUGUACAGAACGAAAAGGUUUCUACUAAUACUAGGAGCUCAUGACGGUACUGUAAGAAUAAGCACCGGCUAACUACGUGCCAGCAGCCGCCGUAA